UACGGGAGGCAGCAGUGAGGAAUAUUGGUCAAUGGGCGGAAGCCUGAACCAGCCAAGUAGCGUGAAGGACGACUGCCCUAUGGGUUGUAAACUUCUUUUAUGCGGGGAUAAAGUUCGCCACGUGUGGCGUUUUGCAGGUACCGCAUGAAUAAGGACCGGCUAAUUCCGUGCCAGCAGCCGCGGUAAUACGGAAGGUCCAGGCGUUAUCCGGAUUCAUUGGGUUUAAAGGGAGCGUAGGCCGCCUUUUAAGCGUGUUGUGAAAUGUAGGGGCUCAACCCCUGCACUGCAGCGCGAACUGGAGGGCUUGAGUACACACAAAGUAGGCGGAAUUCAUGGUGUAGCGGUGAAAUGCUUAGAUAUCAUGAAGAACCCCGAUUGCGAAGGCAGCUUACUGGAGUGUAACUGACGCUGAAGCUCGAAAGCGCGGGUAUCGAACAGGAUUAGAUACCCUGGUAGUCCGCGCGGUAAACGAUGGAUGCCCGCUGUUUGCCAAUUUGGUAAGCGGCCAAGCGAAAGCGUUAA
RNAcentral lists this ribosomal RNA (522 nucleotides) under uncultured bacterium. Its description in RNAcentral is "bacterial SSU rRNA". It matches the Rfam family "Bacterial small subunit ribosomal RNA", at positions 340 to 863 of the family's 1533-position model. The record is from RNAcentral.